Molecule: non-coding RNA, 125 nt
Organism: Triticum aestivum (bread wheat)
Lineage: Eukaryota; Viridiplantae; Streptophyta; Magnoliopsida; Poales; Poaceae
Source: Rfam
AUACUGCUCCCUCCGCCCGGAAGUACUUGUCGUAGAAAUGGAUACAAAUGGAUGUAUGUAGAACUAAAAUACAUCUAGAUAUAUCCAUUCCUCGGACAAGUAUUUCCGGACGGAGGAAGUAGUUU